UAAUCCGAAAAACAAUAUCUCCUCGUCUCCUCAUCCUCCUCUUCCACUUCUCAACUCUCUCCAUGAACCACUGAGAGAGUCUGGGACCCACUCAAAAUCUCUCAUGGCGAAGACUCUCGUCUCAUCCACACCGUUCGUCGGCACAUCUCUACCGUCCAUCUCCCGCCGUGGGGCCUACACCCUCCCCUACCGUAGUGGCAAUGGACUCGUCUCCACCAGAAUCAGGUUCAGCCUCCACCACGUCGUUCCUCCGAUCAAUCCCUUCGACUCCGGCACCGACGUCGCCUCACUUUUGAGCCGAGCUGAGGGCCUCCUCUACACGCUAGCCGAUGCUGCCGUCGCCGUCGACCCGGCCGCCUCGGGCUCCGCAGACGCCGCGGCUCAAAAGAAUGGCGGCUGGUUCGGCUUCAUCUCCGAAGCCAUGGAGUUCGUACUCAAGAUUUUGAAAGAUGGACUUGCGACUGUCCACGUGCCAUAUGCGUACGGCUUCGCAAUUAUUUUGCUUACAGUACUCGUUAAACUUGCCACAUUGCCUCUCACAAAGCAGCAGGUGGAAUCGACGUUGGCUAUGCAAAACCUUCAACCAAAACUUAAAGCUAUACAAGAAAGAUAUAAGGGCAAUCAGGAAAGAAUACAACUUGAGACAUCACGGCUGUAUCGGCAGGCUGGGGUUAACCCAUUGGCAGGUUGUUUACCAACUUUGGCCACGAUACCAGUCUGGAUAGGUCUAUACCAAGCUCUUUCAAAUGUGGCAAAUGAGGGGUUGUUGACAGAAGGUUUCUUUUGGAUUCCCUCUUUGGGUGGGCCAACAACAAUUGCUGCUCGACAAAGUGGAUCUGGAAUUUCUUGGCUGUUUCCAUUUGUGGAUGGCCAGCCACCAUUGGGCUGGCAUGACACUGCAGCAUAUCUUGUUUUACCUGUACUCCUCGUUGCUUCUCAGUAUGUUUCAAUGGAGAUCAUGAAGCCUCCACAGACUGAUGAUCCAGCUCAAAAGAACACACUUCUUGUAUUCAAGUUUCUUCCCCUCAUGAUUGGUUACUUUUCCUUGUCCGUUCCUUCAGGAUUAUCAAUUUACUGGUUGACAAACAAUGUUCUCAGCACAGCACAACAAGUAUGGCUACGCAGAUUAGGAGGUGCAAAGCCUGUUGUGAGUGAGAAUGCAAGUGGAAUCAUUACAGCAGGACGUGCAAAGCGAUCAGAUUCUCAGCCAGUAGAAGCUGGCAGUAGAUUCAGGAAGUUGAGAGAAGAAGAGAAAAAGAACAAGCUGAGCAAGGCAUUAUCAAAUGAAGAGGUUCAGACACUGGCUUCUACAUCUGAUUCUGAAGCCGGUUCAGAUGAAGAAACCAAGGACAAGGGUGAGGAGAUUCUAGAGGCGUAUGCUUCUACUGUUGGCAAAGAGCUUCCAGAUGAUCCUCGGCCAAGGAGAAGCAAGCGAUCUAAACGGAAGCGUGCUGUAUAAAUUGACUAUAUACUGAUUAAGUUUGUAGUUCACGGUGAGUCCUGUAUAUCUCAUCCAAGUGUAUUGUAGUUAAUAUAUCGCCAGCUUUAUGCUGGCUCAUUCAUUUUGAGGUAUAAUGCAAAUCAUGCUAAUUAGUUCUCACCUGCUUAGACUCUUUCAUUCCUCUGGGUGCUAGAAGUGUACUUUCUUGUCAACUUCGUUGCAUGAACUACUAAGUAGAUAAAAGAUGCGAAAGAAAAAUGGAAAACAUAGACAUGGAGCCAUAACAUGCUACUAAGGUUUUGCGUAAUCGCAUUUUUUCAUCUUCUGGAAGACACAGAAAAGUUGUAAGUGUGUUUGUGGUGAAUCUUAUAUUCAAAGAUCAGAACUCUAUUGUAAUUCCACAAUCAUACAAAUUAAUCUGGAAAUAGGUUCUCUAAAUUAAUGCGGCUACGAAACAAAUGCAGCUGGUUUUUACAAAUCUAGAAGCUCUAGGCAGGCAGGUCCAGUGUUUUCAUAUUGUCCUUUUUUCACUCUUUUGCAACUUGCCCGACCCUUUAGAAGAGUGGUCGGGUAAAUGAAAUAUGUGAAACUUUUUCUUUUGACCUUUUAUCACAACUGUAAAGGGAAGUUAGAAACUCUUCUCAGAGCAUUGUACUUUUGCCUUAAGUUUUCGCUUACAAGGUGUCUUCUUUUUUCUUGUAAUUCCAGGAUUAGUAUUUACGUUAAACAGUUUUACUGAAGAUUUUGAUUAUGGAACAACUACACUAACAAAUUUGCUCAUGCACAAAAGCUUCUAGAAUUCAAAUGUUCAAAAUUCCAAUUUUGUACACUCACAUUCCUCAGAGGAGAGGUUUUUUUGACCUACAUGAAUAACACUGACCUUCCUUUCUAGCCUCCAACAAAUAUAAUGAUCUGAUUAGUUCUACAUACUAAGUUAAGAACAAGUACAUCAAAUGUUCAUUGCUUUGAUGGUGGGCGAUGAUUCCCUACUGGGUUGGGACCUGAUGGAGUUUUAUGGAUCUUCCUUCCACUGACCUGUUUUUCAUUGUUGAACAAAGAUGCAAAGAGUCAAGGUGAAAUCAUCUGACAUUAAAUACAUGAAUGCUGGUUAAGCUCUAUACACACCCAAGUAGGUAAAACAUAUCUGGUUCCGGACCCCGACCCAGAGCCAGGCUGUGCAGAAUUGUGCUUGAACUGAACUGUGGCCAGGAACAAAGAAAGCUAACAUUUAUUAAAUAUUGAAGGAAACAAGUUAUCAUUUCAUCCAUGAUAAACCUGUUAAGUACAUGACAACCAUGCUGUCGGCAACUCGAACUGGGAAAUUGGGACCCACCAUAUGCAUGUUGAUGAACAUUGCUGAAUUGCUUACAGAAUGAAAUAAUGAAAUGCUCUGAUAAUUCCA
This is an RNA transcript of Prunus dulcis (almond), 2843 nucleotides long. It is a transcript of the gene named inner membrane protein PPF-1, chloroplastic, with no coding region annotated. NCBI's taxonomy places the organism in Eukaryota, Viridiplantae, Streptophyta, Magnoliopsida, Rosales, Rosaceae. The record is from RefSeq and is a predicted model, not a curated record. The transcript is spliced from 12 exons.